Molecule: ribosomal RNA, 460 nt
Filed under: uncultured bacterium
Lineage: Bacteria
Description: partial 16S ribosomal RNA
Rfam family: Bacterial small subunit ribosomal RNA
Source: RNAcentral
CCUACGGGUGGCAGCAGUGAGGAAUAUUGGUCAAUGGACGAAAGUCUGAACCAGCCAAGUCGCGUGAAGGAUGACUGCCCUAUGGGUUGUAAACUUCUUUUAUAUGGGAAUAAAAUGUUCCACGUGUGGGAUUUUGUAUGUACCGUAUGAAUACGGAUCGGCUAACUCCGUGCCAGCAGCCGCGGUAAUACGGAGGAUCCGAGCGUUAUCCGGAUUUAUUGGGUUUGAAGGGAGCGGAGGUGGAUUGUUAAGUCAGUUGUGAAAGUUUGCGGCUCAACCGUAAAAUUGCAGUUGAAACUGGCAGUCUUGAGUACAGUAGAGGUGGGCGGAACUCGUGGUGUAGCGGUGAAAUGCUUAGAUAUCACGAAGAACUCCGAUUGCGAAGGCAGUUCACUGGACUGCAACUGACACUGAGGCUCGAAAGUGUGGGUAGCAAACAGGAUUAGAUACCCGAGUAGUC